UACGGGGGGGGCAAGCGUUGUUCGGAAUUACUGGGCGUAAAGGGCUCGUAGGUGGCCAACUAAGUCAGACGUGAAAUCCCUCAGCUUAACUGGGGAACUGCGUCUGAUACUGGAUGGCUUGAGUUUGGGAGAGGGAUGCGGAAUUCCAGGUGUAGCGGUGAAAUGCGUAGAUAUCUGGAGGAACACCGGUGGCGAAGGCGGCAUCCUGGACCAAUACUGACACUGAGGAGCGAAAGCGUGGGGAGCAAACGGG
This 253-nucleotide ribosomal RNA is filed under the name uncultured bacterium. RNAcentral describes it as "partial 16S ribosomal RNA". It matches the Rfam family "Bacterial small subunit ribosomal RNA", at positions 524 to 776 of the family's 1533-position model. The record is from RNAcentral.